This is a long non-coding RNA of Vicia villosa (hairy vetch), 703 nucleotides long. RefSeq lists it as uncharacterized. The transcript has 4 exons. Lineage: Eukaryota; Viridiplantae; Streptophyta; Magnoliopsida; Fabales; Fabaceae. The record is from RefSeq and is a predicted model, not a curated record.
UUUAUGCCUAUGAAGUGAUAUCGUGGUGUCCAUAAAUGCAAGGUUUAAAUUAUGUGUAUUGUGAAUAAAGUUCAGUGACCUAUUCCCUAUCUCAACAUCCUUCCGGCAUCUAUGAAUAAAGUUCAGUGACCUAUUCCCUAUCUCAAAGAGCACAUACACAGUGAUAGGGUUAUUGGCCUAUUCCCUAUCUAGAAGAGCAAAUGGACAAUUACGGCUAUUUCAUCUUCUUCUUCACCAUACAAGAGGAUACCACCGUUGGCUCAACAUAUACUCACAAGAGGUGAUGCCACUUUGCGUUUGUAUCAAAAAAUCAGUAGGAGUUUACGGCUCGCAACAUUGAAACCAACCGUCAAAGAAAUGUAUUUGAUAUCUAUCUUCAGGUUUCAAUUAUGCAGUGGAUAUAUGGCUCAUGGAUAUGCAAAUCAUGGGUAUUUGACAUACAAAUCAUACGUUUAUAGUUUUGGAAUUAUUUCCUUGGAAAUUGUUAAUGGAAGGAGCCGCAUCAUUUAUUGGUCAAAGGAGGAAGUAUUGUAUCUUCUUCAUUAUGUAAUUUAAUGAUGUUCUUCCUUAGUCAUAUAAAUUUUAUUUUUCAUGGUAGUAUAUACAUACACUUAAAUAUUUUUCAUACACAGCUUAAUUGUAGUGUUCUCUGUCAUUUUUCUACCAUGCUUAUUUUUAAUAGAUUAAUACAAACACCACUUGU